This 801-nucleotide long non-coding RNA is filed under the name Anser brachyrhynchus (Pink-footed goose). Its description in RNAcentral is "lncRNA (ENSABRG00000000496.1)". The record is from RNAcentral. Lineage: Eukaryota; Metazoa; Chordata; Aves; Anseriformes; Anatidae.
AUACCUCAAGAGAGAUAUGCACCUGACCAGUCUCAGUCCCUACUGCAAUUUCACAGAAAAUAAGUUAUGAAGGUCUCUCUCCAGUAACAAGCCAGCAUCCAGAUGCCUUUCUGGAGAAGAUAAUAGCAGUUCCAAAGCAACAGACACCACAGGAUUUAUUUCCACAUGUUUUAGAAGAUUGCCAGAGAACCUGCAUGACUGUGAUUGACACAGGUAACAGUGUAAAAGAACAAUCCUGUAAUAAUGAUACAGAUCUUUCAUUGGCAACCCUAGGAAAUAUUUUCACAGAACCACUAGUGCUCACUGAACAGAGCAUAGAGACUGCUGAACUUGAAGUCAGUGAUUUGUUGAGACCUCUCAUUGAUUCUGAGAGUCCUAAAACGAUAAACCAACUGCAUGACGUAUUAGACUAUCAGGGUCAUGUCUUUUCCAGUGAUAUAUCAGCAGAUGAGAACAGUGAUGCCCUUCCAGUAGAGCUUGUGACAGCUCUGAAUUCCUUGUCAGGAUCUGUAAUACAGUCUGACAGUCCUGUAGUGCCAAGCAAGAGCCAGCAUACCACUGAGGAAGAGCAGUUAAAUUCAGAAUCCAGUACUCCCCAGCAAGAUGAUGACUGUACACAAAUAACAAACGUGUUUGAGCCUCAGCUUCCUACAAUUCACGAAGAAGAAAUAAAAGCCUUAACAGGAUCUAACUUGCAGAGGACAACAAAUGAGCAAGACUAGAAGCCUAUUUUGUAAAUCCUUGUUGCCCCAUAUCACUUUCAAGAAUAAAUAGGAGGAAUAUUUUUGGUGAGACCUUACU